RNAcentral lists this ribosomal RNA (918 nucleotides) under uncultured bacterium. Its description in RNAcentral is "bacterial SSU rRNA". It matches the Rfam family "Bacterial small subunit ribosomal RNA", at positions 33 to 935 of the family's 1533-position model. The record is from RNAcentral.
ACGCUGGCGGCGUGCCUAAUACAUGCAAGUAGAACGCUGAAGGAGGAGCUUGCUUCUCUGGAUGAGUUGCGAACGGGUGAGUAACGCGUAGGUAACCUGCCUGGUAGCGGGGGAUAACUAUUGGAAACGAUAGCUAAUACCGCAUAACAGUAGAUGUUGCAUGACAUUUGCUUAAAAGGUGCAAUUGCAUCACUACCAGAUGGACCUGCGUUGUAUUAGCUAGUUGGUGGGGUAACGGCUCACCAAGGCGACGAUACAUAGCCGACCUGAGAGGGUGAUCGGCCACACUGGGACUGAGACACGGCCCAGACUCCUACGGGAGGCAGCAGUAGGGAAUCUUCGGCAAUGGACGGAAGUCUGACCGAGCAACGCCGCGUGAGUGAAGAAGGUUUUCGGAUCGUAAAGCUCUGUUGUAAGAGAAGAACGAGUGUGAGAGUGGAAAGUUCACACUGUGACGGUAUCUUACCAGAAAGGGACGGCUAACUACGUGCCAGCAGCCGCGGUAAUACGUAGGUCCCGAGCGUUGUCCGGAUUUAUUGGGCGUAAAGCGAGCGCAGGCGGUUAGAUAAGUCUGAAGUUAAAGGCUGUGGCUUAACCAUAGUACGCUUUGGAAACUGUUUAACUUGAGUGCAAGAGGGGAGAGUGGAAUUCCAUGUGUAGCGGUGAAAUGCGUAGAUAUAUGGAGGAACACCGGUGGCGAAAGCGGCUCUCUGGCUUGUAACUGACGCUGAGGCUCGAAAGCGUGGGGAGCAAACAGGAUUAGAUACCCCGGUAGUCCACGCCGUAAACGAUGAGUGCUAGGUGUUAGACCCUUUCCGGGGUUUAGUGCCGCAGCUAACGCAUUAAGCACUCCGCCUGGGGAGUACGACCGCAAGGUUGAAACUCAAAGGAAUUGACGGGGGCCCGCACAAGCGGUGG